UCUGUUACCUCUAUAAUAUACUCCAGAAAAAGCCCAUUUCUUCCCAUCCCCCAUUCCUCAAACAAAAUCGACAGAGAGACUUUACCUUUCUCCACCCCUCUGCGUACUAGGAUACCUCCUGCAACCCCAUUUGCAGGGGUAUAAACCCAAUCCACCUUACUGCCAUACCACAUAUUGCGAACAACUUGCAACCAAUCCACUCUUUAAAAUACCCU
RNAcentral lists this long non-coding RNA (215 nucleotides) under Carica papaya (papaya). RNAcentral describes it as "long non-coding RNA (CPAP_LNC000202)". The record is from RNAcentral. Lineage: Eukaryota; Viridiplantae; Streptophyta; Magnoliopsida; Brassicales; Caricaceae.